RNAcentral lists this transfer RNA (85 nucleotides) under Amycolatopsis bullii. Its description in RNAcentral is "tRNA-Val". The record is from RNAcentral. Lineage: Bacteria; Bacillati; Actinomycetota; Actinomycetes; Pseudonocardiales; Pseudonocardiaceae.
GGCCGCGCUGGGCGGUGAGGGCGGUGGCCGCGCUGACGAUGCGGUCGGCCGUCAGCGCCGGCAGUCCCGCCGCGGCCCGCGACCG